This 481-nucleotide ribosomal RNA is filed under the name uncultured bacterium. RNAcentral describes it as "partial 16S ribosomal RNA". It matches the Rfam family "Bacterial small subunit ribosomal RNA", at positions 28 to 507 of the family's 1533-position model. The record is from RNAcentral.
GAUGAACGCUGGCGGCGUGCUUAACACAUGCAAGUCGAACGAAACACCUUAUUUGAUUUUCUUCGGAACUGAAGAUUUGGUGAUUGAGUGGCGGACGGGUGAGUAACGCGUGGGUAACCUGCCCUGUACAGGGGGAUAACAGUCAGAAAUGACUGCUAAUACCGCAUAAGACCACAGCACCGCAUGGUGCAGGGGUAAAAACUCCGGUGGUACAGGAUGGACCCGCGUCUGAUUAGCUGGUUGGUGAGGUAACGGCUCACCAAGGCGACGAUCAGUAGCCGGCUUGAGAGAGUGAACGGCCACAGUGGGACUGAGACACGGCCCAAACUCCUACGGGAGGCAGCAGUGGGGAAUAUUGCACAAUGGGGGAAACCCUGAUGCAGCGACGCCGCGUGAGUGAAGAAGUAUUUCGGUAUGUAAAGCUCUAUCAGCAGGGAAGAAAAUGACGGUACCUGACGAAGAAGCCCCGGCUAACUACGUG